CUCAGAAGUGACCUCCUUCAGGAAGCUUCCCGGCCCUCCCCCGUCAAGGCCGAGGUGAAAGUCUGUCCUGGGUUGUGUCUCUUGUCAUCUUCAGCCCUUCUUUCAGCGAACUUCUCAUGUGUAUUGCCGACGGGGGUUUCUCUGUCACACUAGUAGACUGGUGGCCCUUAAUGGCAGCUGUGGGAGAAAGACCUGGUUUAUGGAAGGUGUUCAACAAAUAUUUGCUGAGCAAAUGCGCCAGUUUAUGUAGAGAAGAUAAAAUUCACGUGGUCUGUACUCAGAAGCCAACUGAUGAUGUUAUCUGGGGUGACAAAGAGAAAACAAGAGGCGACCGAAGAAGAAAAAAAGAUGAACCCCGCCAUAUCCUAAGACUGAGCCGCUAAUAUUGACACGGUUCUCUUCAGAUGGUUGAGGUUUCCGACCAGGACUGCUGAGUUGGUUGGGCGGAGAAGGAGAGGUGGAUCCUCCACCAUACCUCAGUUUUCAGUUCGUAUGAUGUUUUGGCUGGAAUUCUGGGUCCAUUACCAAGAGACUAAGACACACACACCUCUCCUUUGGGAACCAAGAGGUAAGAACAGCAACAACCAGCUACAGCCAGAAACUCUAUUGAGGAAAAGAGAAAGCAGAAAGAUUAAUGUGGCGAGCUCUUCCUAUGUGUUCCACGCCAGUAGGCAAUUUCUCACCUUCUCUGAUGUAUCCUCUUGACUUUUCUGAAGGUAGAAUUGCCUUAAAUCUUUACCUGUGAAGGAAAUCAGAGGCAAAGGAAUUAGGAGACUAAUCUGCAUGAAGUCAGAUAGCUAGCCAGGGAGAAGUUGAGUUGGACACAAAGUAACCACCGUCUCGAAACUCAGAUGGACCGCGUUGUAAAAGCCAAACAAUGCCCCCCCCCCAAAUAGGGGAGUCCCUGUCCUAAUACUAACACAGGAAAUGACUAGGAUGUUGAGAUAUCUCCCUUUAACUUUAUUUUACAUGUGAGGUACAAAAAAAAAGACAGAAUCUAUCAGGAAAAAUGAAUUCAGCUCCUCUAGUUGCCGCGGAGACAAACUACUUACCGACCACCUCCGAACCUUUUUCGUGGGGAACAACCACAAUGGAGAUUUCUAACUUCCGAGAAUUGUAUUCAAGGAGGAUUGGCUUCCACUCGUUCACAGUCUGGAUUUGAAAACCAAAAUUGAGGGGGGCCUCCUGUACUCAUUUCCUGGUGUUGAAAAUCUGAGUAGCAAAAACUAUUAAAAUCUUAGAGCUUUGUUUCAAGAUCCUGAAUGGAGGCAAGUUUCCGUUUCCUGAGAGGUGUGUACAUUGUGUGUGUGUGUGUGUGUGUGUGUGUGUGAGAGAGAGAGAGAGAGAGAGAGAAGAGAGAGAGAGAGACAGGGCAAGACAGAGGGCUCUCUAGAAGCUAUUUGAAAUGCCAUUCUAUAGAAUUCAACAUAAAACACGAGAGUAAAAAUUAGUUUGUUUCCAAAAGCAUUCUUUAAAUAAGAAUGAAUUCGAACCAGAAGCAAAGCAACAUUGUCCUCCCUGGAAAUACUAUCUGCACCACUCGUGAAACGUUGGUUAAACGUGGAGACACAGCUGGUGAAAAUGUCCGUAUAUUUACAGACUCAGGGCUGCUGCCUAGGCAGGGAAACACGGGGGAGCCGGGUGCUCACCUGGACUCCUGCUCUGGGAAUGGAGGCUUCAUAUGAGAGUGGGUUUAGGGUAGCUGCCGUGUGUGGGUUCAAACAAAAUCCAGAGAAUAGGGCCUGGCGUGAAGUGACACUGGAAUCAGAGAGGCGGUCUUAAGGUCGCAUUAAUUGCAGGUGGAGACGGGACGAAACUAAGCGUCGGUGGAGGGGCCAUCUACUGGAGAUGGGAGCCAGGGAAGGCAUCAGCGUGGGGGUAGAGGAUGGAGUUGUGGAGUUUCUCUGUUGUGCUGGCAAGUAAGCCCCGAGUCUGUGCCGGGCCCCCGAAGCAUUAGCCCGUGGUGGACACUUGUUGAGGUCAGCGGGGGAACUGGAGAACACCAGCCCCUUCCUUUCAUAGAAGAGGACGCCGCGAGUCGGAGGGCAGACAAGUCGUGUGAGGACACCCAGGAAGUGAGAGCUGAAACCACAGCUCCAGUGGCUUGCGGUCUUCUUGGCUGUUUUGAUAAACACAGCCACUGACUGGUACAUUGCUUUCAACCAACCUUCAUGGCUGCCCGUUAUUUUUUUAUUUCAUUAUCUGUGUUCAGUCAAUUGAUGAUAGAAAGAAGCGGGGGAUUUCAGCAGACCGUAAACUUCCCUGAAAUCAUUACCUGUACACUGAAUACUAUUUAAUGGCUAUCGGGAUAUAAUCAGUGAACUGAGGUCGGUAUCGGGUGCUGAUUAUGAACAAUAAACACGAUGAUAACUUAGUUAAUAUGCA
Molecule: long non-coding RNA, 2385 nt
Filed under: Felis catus (domestic cat)
Lineage: Eukaryota; Metazoa; Chordata; Mammalia; Carnivora; Felidae
Description: lncRNA (ENSFCAG00000050666.1)
Source: RNAcentral